RNAcentral lists this long non-coding RNA (1665 nucleotides) under Nicotiana benthamiana. RNAcentral's name for it is "long non-coding RNA (NBEN_LNC028653)". Lineage: Eukaryota; Viridiplantae; Streptophyta; Magnoliopsida; Solanales; Solanaceae. The record is from RNAcentral.
AUGUGUGAAGAUUUAGGAAUAUAAUCGUAUGAAAUCAUGCGAUUCAUUGCAUUACUACCUAUAUGACCUAGUCUAUAAUACCAAAAAACAUUCACAUCAUCAACAAUAUAAGUAGAAGCACUUGAAACUUUAUUCAUACUUUAUUCAUACAUAUUGUCUUUAGCAUAUUCUUGAGAGUGUGAACUUUUCCAAAAGAAAGCGGAAGUUGCACAGUGUGAAUUCCUAUAACAGCACAAGUGGUGGAGUUGCCCAUGUAAACUAUUUUCUCACCCUUUACAUCUUUAUAUGUUUUGAAAACACUUUUGAAUGGAGUGACAUGGCAAGUUGUUCCAGAAUCUAACCACCAUUCUUCUUGCUAUCCAUCAUAAUAAUCUUAGUAAGAACAACAACCAUUUCUUCUUCUUGCUCCAUGAUAUUGGCUUCUUCUUUUUAUCUUUCUUACCUUUGUGAAAUUUACAAACUCUAGCCAAAUAUCCUAUCUUACCACAUACAAAGCAAGGUCAUCUGUUCUUCUUACUAGUACCAUUAUUGGAAUCGAAUCUUUUGUUAUAAUCAGAAGUCUUGUUUCUAUUGUGAAACUUGUUAAUCUUGGUUUUAGCAGAUUUUGAGGAUGUGGAAUUUUCAACAUUAUGUACUUUAUCCUUUCCAUUGUAAACAGGCAAAUCUCUAUUUCUAACCUCAUACUCAAUUUGAAUAUGCUGAAGUAAUUGAUCCAAAUUUAGAGACUUAGUCUUGUGCUUUAAUUUCAUUUUAUAAUCUUUUUAAGUAGGAGGAAGUUUACCAAUAAUAGUAGAAACAUGAAAAGUCUCAGUAAUUGGCUCCCCCGCAUCAACACAUGGAGAGACAAUUUCAUCUAAUUCAUUUACUUGAUCAAUAACAGGUUUGGAAUCAUCCAUCUUAAAAUCAAUCUACUUGUUAAUUAAGAAGGAUCUAUUUCCAGUAUUUUCUAUUACAUACCUUCGCGAGAUGGCAGCCCACAACUCAUAUGCAGGGUAGCACUUGUGAAACACAUUGAGGAGGGCAUUACUCAUUGCAUUCAGGAUCAUUGAGAGGCACACAAAAUCAUCUUCUAGCCAUUUUUAUUGUGAGUCCGAAAGCUGCCUAUCUGCUUUUCCAUCUUGUGGAUAUGAAACAAGUCAAGACAUAGUAGACUUUUGCAAUUGUCAAUUGAUACAUCAUCUUCAUACUCCAACGCUUGUGGUUCAUCCCGUUGAACUUUUCAAGCCUCUCCACAUCUUGAAAUUGUUUGCCCGUCAAAAAGGAGUCCAUUGAAUCGGAAUAGUUACUAUCUUAAAAUUGUUUAAUAAAUAUGUUGAAAAUAAACCAAUGGAGUAAACUCAAGUAAGAUAAUCUAAUAAGAAAUUUGAAAUGAGUAGACAAGGCGUUUCCAGAAAACUAUCUUUAGAAUAGUAGUUUCCCCCACACGGUUAAAGGAAAAUCUAUCCCCAAGAUACAAUGCCUACUGUAGAGAUCAAAGUUGCACUCUUUGAUUUCCCAACCACAAGAACUCAACCCAAAAGGAUGAAGGAUUUGAAAGAAAGUAAUUGACGAAAAUUUGAUGUAUAUAAACAGAUCUUAUGAUAGACAGAGAAAUGUUGUAUAUAUAAUUGCUUAGAGGUUCUUUAGAAUCCUGUAGAAUACCCUUUAUAUAGACAAGCCCUCGAC